This 76-nucleotide transfer RNA is filed under the name Candidatus Naiadarchaeum limnaeum. RNAcentral's name for it is "tRNA-Trp". It matches the Rfam family "tRNA". From Rfam's summary of the family: Transfer RNA (tRNA) molecules are approximately 80 nucleotides in length. The record is from RNAcentral. Lineage: Archaea; Nanobdellati; Candidatus Undinarchaeota; Candidatus Undinarchaeia; Candidatus Naiadarchaeales; Candidatus Naiadarchaeaceae.
GGGGCCAUGGUGUAACCCGGGAGCAUUGCUGGCUCCAGACCAGCAGGUUAGGGUUCAAAUCCCUGUGGCCCCACCA